GACGAACGCUGGCGGCGUGCUUUACACAUGCAAGUCGAACGGUGAAGCGCCUUCCUUUUUGGUGGGUGUGGAUGAGUGGCGAACGGGUGAGUAACACGUGAGUAACCUGCCCCCUUCUUCUGGAUAACCGCAUGAAAGUGUGGCUAAUACGGGAUAUUCUGGGUCUGUCGCAUGAUGGGUCUGGGAAAGAUAUUGUUUCGGUGGGGGAUGGGCUCGCGGCCUAUCAGCUUGUUGGUGGGGUGAUGGCCUACCAAGGCGGUGACGGGUAGCCGGCCUGAGAGGGUGGACGGUCACACUGGGACUGAGACACGGCCCAGACUCCUACGGGAGGCAGCAGUGGGGAAUAUUGCACAAUGGGCGCAAGCCUGAUGCAGCGACGCCGCGUGAGGGAUGGAGGCCUUCGGGUUGUGAACCUCUUUCGCCAGUGAAGCAGGCCUGCCUCGUUUGUGGGUGGGUUGACGGUAGCUGGAGAAGAAGCGCCGGCUAACUACGUG
This 494-nucleotide ribosomal RNA is filed under the name uncultured bacterium. RNAcentral describes it as "partial 16S ribosomal RNA". It matches the Rfam family "Bacterial small subunit ribosomal RNA", at positions 28 to 507 of the family's 1533-position model. The record is from RNAcentral.